UCCUCAAUAGCUCAGUUGGUAGAGCAUUCGGCUGUUAACCGAAGGGUCCUUGGUUCGAGUCCAAGUUGGGGAG
This 73-nucleotide transfer RNA is filed under the name Blattella germanica (German cockroach). Its description in RNAcentral is "tRNA-Asn (GTT) (tRNA-Asn-GTT-14-1)". It matches the Rfam family "tRNA". Rfam says of the family: Transfer RNA (tRNA) molecules are approximately 80 nucleotides in length. The record is from RNAcentral. Lineage: Eukaryota; Metazoa; Arthropoda; Insecta; Blattodea; Blattellidae.